AAAAGACCUACGUGUGAACUAAUGCAAGCAGCUAAUGCCAAGCCUAACAUGCUCCAUAUGUGUUAGAAGUUUUAAGAUUUGACCUUCGAGAGCUGAGGGCAGGCCUCUGUCAGAACAGAGUAUGGAACAUGAAAUUGGUUAUGGAGCCGGACGAGAGGCUGAGAAUGUGGAUCGUCCUCCGAAGACGCUGUCCAGGGAAGACCUGGAGUGAAUCAUGGGCCAAGGGUGGAGGCCAAGUUACGGGGACAGAGAGGCGAAGACAAGGGCAGCAGUGCCCACAACAGGAAUUCCUACCCUUCAACUUUGUUCAUAGUGGUCCCUACUUUUAAUAUAUGUAAUGUAUUAAGACAGACAAUUCUGAGGUUGUAGUAACAAGGGAAAUGCAACUGGCACAGACAACCACUGAUUCUUUUUUUCAUGACUCCCCUAUUCGUGCUAACCUUUGUUCUGUGCCAAGUUCAUGACAAACCCCAGUUCAUUCCUGCAGCAAUGGGGGAAACUCUAAUCUUUGAGGGUAUUGGAAGGCUUCUGCCCUGCAGUCUUGUUGUGGGUUUACGCCUCCAAUUCCUACCCUGGGCUCUGUGAGAUGGGGAGUAGUAGAGGCUGUGAUCAGGCCACUGGGGAAUACCCAAGUCCAAGCAGGCUUGACAUCCACAUGUGCAGUCAAUUCUUGAUUAUCCACACCAAUGGUCUGUGACCCAGGCCCAGGUAAUCCCAAAUAAUUGACAAUCCAAAAGGAAUUUUCUCUUUGGUUUUGGAAUAUGCUUUGCUUUUUCCAGCUGCAGAUCCCCUCUCCCACUUACACUUUCCUUGUCGGAUAUUAAGAAUCAUUUAUGUUCCUUUAGUUGGGCACUUGGUCUGAGCAAUGGCUUGAAGUCAGCUUCAUAUUGAAAAUUUG
This 898-nucleotide long non-coding RNA is filed under the name Homo sapiens (human). Its description in RNAcentral is "non-protein coding lnc-INSIG2-1:5". The record is from RNAcentral. Lineage: Eukaryota; Metazoa; Chordata; Mammalia; Primates; Hominidae.